Molecule: long non-coding RNA, 684 nt
Organism: Triticum aestivum (bread wheat)
Lineage: Eukaryota; Viridiplantae; Streptophyta; Magnoliopsida; Poales; Poaceae
Exons: 2
Source: RefSeq, a predicted model, not a curated record
UCUCCCGUAACCGCCAGCGUGCAGGAGACGGGAGGCGGCGCGGCGCACGGCCAUGGUGUGGGGCGCGUCGCAGAGCAGGCGGACGGGUGCGGGGCGCGUCGGGCUGGCACGACCAGGGGCCACGACUCUCCUUGGACCGAGGAUCCGGGCCGUGGCCCUUGCUGACGGAGCCACGGACGCCGGUGGAGGGCGGGUCGACGCGACCACGUAGCCGCCGUCGUGGGCUCUGCCACGCCGCGAUGAUGCAGGCUGCGGCCGCACAAUCAUCUUCAUACCUCCGCGGUCCAACGAUAGGACAGAUACGCACGACGACGAAUGUCCUUGUGGAGAAGAAGUAAGGCGUCGUACAUAUUCUUCUCCGUCAGUUUCUCCGUGAUUUGCUUCGUGGCUUCCUGUUCGUGAUUCAGUUCUUCUUCCACUUUUGAUUUUCCUCUCAUGGAGUUCACUGGAGUUGAAAAUCGCUGGAGUUGCCGCCGCUCUCCGCCGAGGGCACUGCAAUUCGUGUGGGCUCCUCCGACGUCUGGUACAGCAGUGACGCUCCUCCGACGUGUGGACUAUAUUUUUGUUUUAAAGAAUAUAUCCCUCUCGGCUCCAGUACAGUAUUUUCAUGCAUGCAUGGAUGUUCUUGCUAUCAUUUCCUCAUUUCUCUCGGGGACAUAAAAGAAUGACAUGUGAUUACCGUCC